Molecule: long non-coding RNA, 117 nt
Organism: Rhipicephalus microplus (southern cattle tick)
Lineage: Eukaryota; Metazoa; Arthropoda; Arachnida; Ixodida; Ixodidae
Source: RefSeq, a predicted model, not a curated record
CCGUGAUCAAGAAGGCGGUGCCCCCAGGGAGAGGCGCGGGCAUUGCACUGCGCUCGUGCUGACCCCUGCCACUACCCCAAACUGGGGCAGAUGGGGCAUGCAAUUUUUGGUAGUGGG